CCUACGGGUGGCUGCAGUGGGGAAUAUUGGACAAUGGGCGAAAGCCUGAUCCAGCCAUGCCGCGUGUGUGAAGAAGGCCUUCGGGUUGUAAAGCACUUUCAGUGGGGAAGAAAGCCUUGGGGCUAAUACCCUCGAGGAAGGACAUCACCCACAGAAGAAGCACCGGCUAACUCCGUGCCAGCAGCCGCGGUAAUACGGAGGGUGCGAGCGUUAAUCGGAAUUACUGGGCGUAAAGCGCGCGUAGGCGGCCUGAUAAGCCGGUUGUGAAAGCCCCGGGCUCAACCUGGGAACGGCAUCCGGAACUGUCAGGCUAGAGUGCAGGAGAGGAAGGUAGAAUUCCCGGUGUAGCGGUGAAAUGCGUAGAGAUCGGGAGGAAUACCAGUGGCGAAGGCGGCCUUCUGGACUGACACUGACGCUGAGGUGCGAAAGCGUGGGUAGCAAACAGGAUUAGAUACCCCGGUAGUC
RNAcentral lists this ribosomal RNA (465 nucleotides) under Vreelandella stevensii. RNAcentral describes it as "partial 16S ribosomal RNA". It matches the Rfam family "Bacterial small subunit ribosomal RNA", at positions 338 to 795 of the family's 1533-position model. The record is from RNAcentral. Lineage: Bacteria; Pseudomonadati; Pseudomonadota; Gammaproteobacteria; Oceanospirillales; Halomonadaceae.